Tympanuchus pallidicinctus (lesser prairie-chicken) is the source of this 866-nucleotide long non-coding RNA. RefSeq lists it as uncharacterized. The transcript is spliced from 3 exons. The record is from RefSeq and is a predicted model, not a curated record. NCBI's taxonomy places the organism in Eukaryota, Metazoa, Chordata, Aves, Galliformes, Phasianidae.
AGAUCUUUGGCCCAAAUAUUUGCAAGGGAACUUUCAAAACGUGUCCCCCCAUCUGACUCAAUUCUUUCACUGUAGAGAAGACCUAAAAUAUUCAAUCCAGCAACUGUUUUGUGUGCACCUAUCUAUCUAUCUAUCUAUCUGCUCCAUUCCAUUUCAUCUUACCCAUAAAUCUUGUUAAGCACACACGUAGAAAGCAGGGUUGUUCAGCUGUGCCCUUCCCCAGGUCACUCUGCUCUCCUCAGACCCCCAGCUCUGUCCCAGAAGCAUCUUUCAUCAGCCCUUCCUAGAAAGAGCUGCCUGCUUUGGCAGCACAAAUGGACUCGUUCAUGGUGAACUCCCGGCUUCCUCGUGCCUGGAACAACUCCAUGGGCCUGCUCAGCCAUCUGCACCAACCCUGGAUGUUGUUUGUCUCCACAAUCAGCACCCCUACCACCGCAUCUUCUUUCCAGAGGAGGAAGUGUUUGGGAAGUGCUGUGGUUUUCCCCACGUGGUGCUGAUGGGUCAGAGUGAAGACAUCAUGCAAGAGUAACACAGGCAUGGACUGAGACCACAUUACCUCCAAUUCCUCCCCCUGAAUGGCGACAAAGCUUUGCUCUCACAAAGCAGUUGGCUUCAGCCCCACGGGUUGCCUGCAGCCUCCGAUCUGCAGCAAACAUUCUGCUGCCAGAGGACACAGCAGAGCCAGCUCUACUCAUUGCAGCAGAUAGAAAAACAUCUCCGCGCUCUUUUGCACUGCUUUCAGAAAUGUUAGCUAGGCUAACUACUUUUUGUAGACAGGAAUUGGCUUAUCCAAUGGUGAGUCAUCACCUGUGACUGUUUCAAAUAAAGAUCUUUUAAAUCUGUUUUGCAAACUGACAAGAAAAUCC